Molecule: ribosomal RNA, 2787 nt
Filed under: Escherichia coli
Lineage: Bacteria; Pseudomonadati; Pseudomonadota; Gammaproteobacteria; Enterobacterales; Enterobacteriaceae
Description: bacterial LSU rRNA
Rfam family: Bacterial large subunit ribosomal RNA
Source: RNAcentral
AGCGUACACGGUGGAUGCCCUGGCAGUCAGAGGCGAUGAAGGACGUGCUAAUCUGCGAUAAGCGUCGGUAAGGUGAUAUGAACCGUUAUAACCGGCGAUUUCCGAAUGGGGAAACCCAGUGUGUUUCGACACACUAUCAUUAACUGAAUCCAUAGGUUAAUGAGGCGAACCGGGGGAACUGAAACAUCUAAGUACCCCGAGGAAAAGAAAUCAACCGAGAUUCCCCCAGUAGCGGCGAGCGAACGGGGAGCAGCCCAGAGCCUGAAUCAGUGUGUGUGUUAGUGGAAGCGUCUGGAAAGGCGUGCGAUACAGGGUGACAGCCCCGUACACAAAAAUGCACAUACUGUGAGCUCGAUGAGUAGGGCGGGACACGUGGUAUCCUGUCUGAAUAUGGGGGGACCAUCCUCCAAGGCUAAAUACUCCUGACUGACCGAUAGUGAACCAGUACCGUGAGGGAAAGGCGAAAAGAACCCCGGCGAGGGGAGUGAAAAAGAACCUGAAACCGUGUACGUACAAGCAGUGGGAGCACGCUUAGGCGUGUGACUGCGUACCUUUUGUAUAAUGGGUCAGCGACUUAUAUUCUGUAGCAAGGUUAACCGAAUAGGGGAGCCGAAGGGAAACCGAGUCUUAACUGGGCGUUAAGUUGCAGGGUAUAGACCCGAAACCCGGUGAUCUAGCCAUGGGCAGGUUGAAGGUUGGGUAACACUAACUGGAGGACCGAACCGACUAAUGUUGAAAAAUUAGCGGAUGACUUGUGGCUGGGGGUGAAAGGCCAAUCAAACCGGGAGAUAGCUGGUUCUCCCCGAAAGCUAUUUAGGUAGCGCCUCGUGAAUUCAUCUCCGGGGGUAGAGCACUGUUUCGGCAAGGGGGUCAUCCCGACUUACCAACCCGAUGCAAACUGCGAAUACCGGAGAAUGUUAUCACGGGAGACACACGGCGGGUGCUAACGUCCGUCGUGAAGAGGGAAACAACCCAGACCGCCAGCUAAGGUCCCAAAGUCAUGGUUAAGUGGGAAACGAUGUGGGAAGGCCCAGACAGCCAGGAUGUUGGCUUAGAAGCAGCCAUCAUUUAAAGAAAGCGUAAUAGCUCACUGGUCGAGUCGGCCUGCGCGGAAGAUGUAACGGGGCUAAACCAUGCACCGAAGCUGCGGCAGCGACGCUGAUGCGUUGUUGGGUAGGGGAGCGUUCUGUAAGCCUGCGAAGGUGUGCUGUGAGGCAUGCUGGAGGUAUCAGAAGUGCGAAUGCUGACAUAAGUAACGAUAAAGCGGGUGAAAAGCCCGCUCGCCGGAAGACCAAGGGUUCCUGUCCAACGUUAAUCGGGGCAGGGUGAGUCGACCCCUAAGGCGAGGCCGAAAGGCGUAGUCGAUGGGAAACAGGUUAAUAUUCCUGUACUUGGUGUUACUGCGAAGGGGGGACGGAGAAGGCUAUGUUGGCCGGGCGACGGUUGUCCCGGUUUAAGCGUGUAGGCUGGUUUUCCAGGCAAAUCCGGAAAAUCAAGGCUGAGGCGUGAUGACGAGGCACUACGGUGCUGAAGCAACAAAUGCCCUGCUUCCAGGAAAAGCCUCUAAGCAUCAGGUAACAUCAAAUCGUACCCCAAACCGACACAGGUGGUCAGGUAGAGAAUACCAAGGCGCUUGAGAGAACUCGGGUGAAGGAACUAGGCAAAAUGGUGCCGUAACUUCGGGAGAAGGCACGCUGAUAUGUAGGUGAAGUCCCUCGCGGAUGGAGCUGAAAUCAGUCGAAGAUACCAGCUGGCUGCAACUGUUUAUUAAAAACACAGCACUGUGCAAACACGAAAGUGGACGUAUACGGUGUGACGCCUGCCCGGUGCCGGAAGGUUAAUUGAUGGGGUUAGCGCAAGCGAAGCUCUUGAUCGAAGCCCCGGUAAACGGCGGCCGUAACUAUAACGGUCCUAAGGUAGCGAAAUUCCUUGUCGGGUAAGUUCCGACCUGCACGAAUGGCGUAAUGAUGGCCAGGCUGUCUCCACCCGAGACUCAGUGAAAUUGAACUCGCUGUGAAGAUGCAGUGUACCCGCGGCAAGACGGAAAGACCCCGUGAACCUUUACUAUAGCUUGACACUGAACAUUGAGCCUUGAUGUGUAGGAUAGGUGGGAGGCUUUGAAGUGUGGACGCCAGUCUGCAUGGAGCCGACCUUGAAAUACCACCCUUUAAUGUUUGAUGUUCUAACGUUGACCCGUAAUCCGGGUUGCGGACAGUGUCUGGUGGGUAGUUUGACUGGGGCGGUCUCCUCCUAAAGAGUAACGGAGGAGCACGAAGGUUGGCUAAUCCUGGUCGGACAUCAGGAGGUUAGUGCAAUGGCAUAAGCCAGCUUGACUGCGAGCGUGACGGCGCGAGCAGGUGCGAAAGCAGGUCAUAGUGAUCCGGUGGUUCUGAAUGGAAGGGCCAUCGCUCAACGGAUAAAAGGUACUCCGGGGAUAACAGGCUGAUACCGCCCAAGAGUUCAUAUCGACGGCGGUGUUUGGCACCUCGAUGUCGGCUCAUCACAUCCUGGGGCUGAAGUAGGUCCCAAGGGUAUGGCUGUUCGCCAUUUAAAGUGGUACGCGAGCUGGGUUUAGAACGUCGUGAGACAGUUCGGUCCCUAUCUGCCGUGGGCGCUGGAGAACUGAGGGGGGCUGCUCCUAGUACGAGAGGACCGGAGUGGACGCAUCACUGGUGUUCGGGUUGUCAUGCCAAUGGCACUGCCCGGUAGCUAAAUGCGGAAGAGAUAAGUGCUGAAAGCAUCUAAGCACGAAACUUGCCCCGAGAUGAGUUCUCCCUGACUCCUUGA